GCUUAUGAAAUUUUUUAGAAUAUAACUUUGAAGCAGUUAAGGAGGCUUGUCCUAUAAGCA
RNAcentral lists this transfer RNA (60 nucleotides) under Orthione mesoamericana. RNAcentral describes it as "tRNA-Phe". The record is from RNAcentral. Lineage: Eukaryota; Metazoa; Arthropoda; Malacostraca; Isopoda; Bopyridae.